This 77-nucleotide transfer RNA is filed under the name Salipiger sp. PrR003. RNAcentral's name for it is "Yangia sp. PrR003 tRNA-Asp". It matches the Rfam family "tRNA". From Rfam's summary of the family: Transfer RNA (tRNA) molecules are approximately 80 nucleotides in length. Their secondary structure includes four short double-helical elements and three loops (D, anti-codon, and T loops). The record is from RNAcentral. Lineage: Bacteria; Pseudomonadati; Pseudomonadota; Alphaproteobacteria; Rhodobacterales; Roseobacteraceae.
GCGGUUGUAGCUCAGUUGGUCAGAGCACCGGCCUGUCACGCCGGGGGCCGCGGGUUCAAGUCCCGUCAAUCGCGCCA